Molecule: ribosomal RNA, 901 nt
Filed under: Hebeloma alpinum
Lineage: Eukaryota; Fungi; Basidiomycota; Agaricomycetes; Agaricales; Hymenogastraceae
Also listed under: 1 other name
Description: LSU rRNA
Rfam family: Eukaryotic large subunit ribosomal RNA
Source: RNAcentral
AGCGGAGGAAAAGAAACUAACAAGGAUUCCCCUAGUAACUGCGAGUGAAGCGGGAAAAGCUCAAAUUUAAAAUCUGGCGGUCUCUGGCCGUCCGAGUUGUAAUCUAGAGAAGUGUUAUCCGCGCUGGACCGUGUACAAGUCUCCUGGAAUGGAGCGUCAUAGAGGGUGAGAAUCCCGUCUUUGACACGGACUGCCAGGGCUUUGUGAUGCGCUCUCAAAGAGUCGAGUUGUUUGGGAAUGCAGCUCAAAAUGGGUGGUAAAUUCCAUCUAAAGCUAAAUAUUGGCGAGAGACCGAUAGCGAACAAGUACCGUGAGGGAAAGAUGAAAAGAACUUUGGAAAGAGAGUUAAACAGUACGUGAAAUUGCUGAAAGGGAAACGCUUGAAGUCAGUCGCGUUGGCCGGGGAUCAACCUUGCUUUUGCUGGGCGUACUUUCCGGUUGACGGGUCAGCAUCAAUUUUGACCGUUGGAUAAAGUCCAGGGGAAUGUGGCAUCUUCGGAUGUGUUAUAGCCCUUGGUCGCAUACAACGGUUGGGAUUGAGGAACUCAGCACGCCGCAAGGCCGGGUACUUGUACCACGUUCGUGCUUAGGAUGCUGGCAUAAUGGCUUUAAUCGACCCGUCUUGAAACACGGACCAAGGAGUCUAACAUGCCUGCGAGUGUUUGGGUGGAAAACUCGGACGCGUAAUGAAAGUGAAAGUUGAGAUCCCUGUCGUGGGGAGCAUCGACGCCCGGACCAGACCUUUUGUGACGGAUCCGCGGUAGAGCAUGUAUGUUGGGACCCGAAAGAUGGUGAACUAUGCCUGAAUAGGGUGAAGCCAGAGGAAACUCUGGUGGAGGCUCGUAGCGAUUCUGACGUGCAAAUCGAUCGUCAAAUUUGGGUAUAGGGGCGAAAGACUAAU